GUUGAGGGUCUGACCUCAUGAGGAAAUUACUAUGCAGUGAUUUUCUCCAAAAUGACUGUGCUUAAAUUGCUCUGAAAAGCAAAUAAUCACAUCAGCGCCAAGAAACUUCAUUUCCCAUGAUGCUUUGCACACGGAAGCAUUGUGAUGACGUCACCGCCUAGUACCAGAAACACAUUCUGCGCAUGUGCGGGAAGCCGUGGAGCUUUUCCCGCGAACUAAGACCAUAAAUCUUCAGCAGAGACAAAGAAUCCUCGUUCUUUUGCCCAGGAUACCUGGCGGUAAGGACACGCUUAUCGAACGCUCCGAUUCCCUUGAGCACGCGGAAGCUCUAAGUGCCCAAGUUGAGGACACAGAACGGCGGAGGAAAGCAACAACUCCAUCCAGCUCUCUGAGACGCUCCCGUGGAGAAACACUCGUGAACGCCAAACAACGGAGAAAGCAUCAAACCGACGGACGACGCCGAAAGCUGCGGAGAAACACGGAGAACCGUCAAAUCAAAACAGUGAGGGACGCUUCACUGUUCUGGUGAUCAGAAACUCAUCUCUUUCUCUCAUUCUUUCCUUCUCCCGUUUCCUCUAUAGUCUCGAAUAAGCAAUAAACCGCGUCUAUUGCUUAAAAAGUAGCUUCGUGCUUUCCUCUUUCGUCCCAAACACGUCAGUCGGGUCAUUUUGAAAGAAUAAACUGCUUAUUGAUCAUUGUUUGGUAUCUUUAAAUGUUUUCUGCUUGGCCACGUGGUUAAACUAAAAGAUAUUAUUCGUGAUUAAUCUUUUGUGUUGUUUCAUGAUCUUUUGAAAUGUUUUGAGUGAUUUAAGGUUAAGUUACUACUGAUUCUAAGUGCUUUGGAAGUUAAAGUGCAAGUUGCCACCCACACUUUAGCCAGACAAAGGGGUCAGCCAUCUUGUAUUCAAGACUCCAUUUUGAAUCCAUACACACACACACACACACACACACUACUCCUUUGUGAGAACAAAGGACCCCAUUCAUACAUCCUCCAUCACAUGCAAACACAUCCAUCUUCAAUCAUAUCACAUGGUUAUUAUUCAUCUAUUCCACUGUUUAUUCAUUUGACAAAUUGUUAAUUAAAUGUUAUAAAAUUCA
This is a non-coding RNA of Nothobranchius furzeri (turquoise killifish), 1098 nucleotides long. The record is from RefSeq and is a predicted model, not a curated record. Lineage: Eukaryota; Metazoa; Chordata; Actinopteri; Cyprinodontiformes; Nothobranchiidae.